UCAUUUAAAGAAAGCGUAAUAGCUCACUGGUCGAGUCGGCCUGCGCGGAAGAUGUAACGGGGCUAAACCAUGCACCGAAGCUGCGGCAGCGACACUAUGUGUUGUUGGGUAGGGGAGCGUUCUGUAAGCCUGUGAAGGUGGCCUGUGAGGGUUGCUGGAGGUAUCAGAAGUGCGAAUGCUGACAUAAGUAACGAUAAAGCGGGUGAAAAGCCCGCUCGCCGGAAGACCAAGGGUUCCUGUCCAACGUUAAUCGGGGCAGGGUGAGUCGACCCCUAAGGCGAGGCCGAAAGGCGUAGUCGAUGGGAAACAGGUUAAUAUUCCUGUACUUGGUGUUACUGCGAAGGGGGGACGGAGAAGGCUAUGUUGGCCGGGCGACGGUUGUCCCGGUUUAAGCGUGUAGGCUGGUUUUCCAGGCAAAUCCGGAAAACCAAGGCUGAGGCGUGAUGACGAGGCACUACGGUGCUGAAGCGACAAAUGCCCUGCUUCCAGGAAAAGCCUCUAAGCAUCAGGUAACAUCAAAUCGUACCCCAAACCGACACAGGUGGUCAGGUAGAGAAUACCAAGGCGCUUGAGAGAACUCGGGUGAAGGAACUAGGCAAAAUGGUGCCGUAACUUCGGGAGAAGGCACGCUGAUAUGUAGGUGAAGCGACUUGCUCGUGGAGCUGAAAUCAGUCGAAGAUACCAGCUGGCUGCAACUGUUUAUUAAAAACACAGCACUGUGCAAACACGAAAGUGGACGUAUACGGUGUGACGCCUGCCCGGUGCCGGAAGGUUAAUUGAUGGGGUUAGCGGUAACGCGAAGCUCUUGAUCGAAGCCCCGGUAAACGGCG
This 830-nucleotide ribosomal RNA is filed under the name Escherichia coli. RNAcentral describes it as "bacterial LSU rRNA". It matches the Rfam family "Bacterial large subunit ribosomal RNA", at positions 1119 to 1932 of the family's 2925-position model. The record is from RNAcentral. Lineage: Bacteria; Pseudomonadati; Pseudomonadota; Gammaproteobacteria; Enterobacterales; Enterobacteriaceae.